GCCCACGUGGCGGAAUGGUAGACGCAACAGACUUAAAAUCUGUCGGAAGGUUUCUUCCGUGCCGGUUCGAGUCCGGCCGUGGGCACCA
Molecule: transfer RNA, 88 nt
Filed under: Alphaproteobacteria bacterium
Lineage: Bacteria; Pseudomonadati; Pseudomonadota; Alphaproteobacteria
Description: tRNA-Leu
Rfam family: tRNA
About the family: Transfer RNA (tRNA) molecules are approximately 80 nucleotides in length. Their secondary structure includes four short double-helical elements and three loops (D, anti-codon, and T loops).
Source: RNAcentral